This 420-nucleotide ribosomal RNA is filed under the name uncultured bacterium. RNAcentral's name for it is "bacterial SSU rRNA". It matches the Rfam family "Bacterial small subunit ribosomal RNA", at positions 356 to 773 of the family's 1533-position model. The record is from RNAcentral.
AGGGAAUAUUGGGCAAUGGAUGCAAGUCUGACCCAGCCAUGCCGCGUGCCGGAUGAAGGCCCUCAGGGUUGUAAACGGCUUUUAUUCGGGAAGAAGAGCAGGGAUGCGUCCUUGUGUGACGGUACCGAAUGAAUAAGCACCGGCUAACUCCGUGCCAGCAGCCGCGGUAAUACGGAGGGUGCGAGCGUUGUCCGGAUUUAUUGGGUUUAAAGGGUGCGUAGGUGGCUAGUUAAGUCAGUGGUGAAAUACAGCCGCUCAACGGUUGAGGUGCCAUUGAUACUGAUUAGCUUGAAAUAAUUGGAGGCUGCCGGAAUGGAUGGUGUAGCGGUGAAAUGCAUAGAUAUCAUCCAGAACACCGAUUGCGAAGGCAGGUGGCUACGAUUUAUUUGACACUGAGGCACGAAAGCAUGGGGAGCAAAC